UUAUAAAGGAGAGAAAUUCGACUGGCUCAUGGUUCUGCAGGCCGUACAGGAAGCCUGGUGCUGGCAGAUCUGCUUCUAGGGAGUUCUCAGGAAGCUUCUGGUCAUGGUGGAAGGCAAUGCGGAGCCAGCGAGUCACAUGAUGAGACCCCGAGCAAGAAAGAGAGGCCGGGAGGUGCCACACUCUACAACAACCAGAACGUGCCUGUGUAAUCAGAACCCAGAAAAGGGAAAAGAGCAUUCUUCACCACACAGAAGUCCUGGUGACAGUCUUUCUAGUUAUCGGCCCACUGCAAGGGUAACCCUAUCCAAACUGCGUUGAUUAGGUUUUCAUAUUUCAUAGAAAUGGAUUCAUACACUACUUGCUCUUUUGUGUCUGGAUUUUUCAUCAUGCAACAUUAUUUCUCAACCUGGAGCUGUGCGGACUGAGACUGAGAUGCAUCGCUGAAACUCUCUUUAGGUGUUCCCUACCAUUUCUUCUUGGAAAAGAAGGUUUUACCUCCUGGGAUUUUUGAGAACCUCUAACUUCUCCAUUGGGGACCAUCUCCAGGUACCACCAAAAAAGAGCACAACAGCAGCCUUGCGGAUAAGUCCUGGUCUGGAGUCAGCCACCGCUGCACACACCACUCAGAGCUGCAUCAUCGGGUUACCCCUGGAAAGGCUGCCCACACACCCACAUCCAGGGGUGUCUCGUCACUGCUGACGACUAGCACGGUGAAUGUUCUGCUUCGUGGAGAGACUAUCAGAGCUGGAAUAUCCAUAGGCUUAUAAUCUUCAUGAAUACUUCCUCUCUCAAUUGCCGUGAAAUAAUAUGGCUCCUCAGUCCAUGAAGCUGGCAUCAAUAACUGAAAUAGGCUCGGAAAAGUCCGGGCAAGAGGAACCUGAAAGCUCAGCAUGAGAUGAAGUGGCUGGAGGAGGCUGACCAUCAAACCUACUUAGAAGUCAGACCUUGAAUGUAAGUACAUGUUGUUCAUUAUCUAUAUCUUUUGCAUGACAGAAUGUCAGUUAUAGGAUAAAUAACAGAGGGUAGGCUGUGUACCAAGUCAUGGUGACA
RNAcentral lists this long non-coding RNA (1051 nucleotides) under Homo sapiens (human). Its description in RNAcentral is "HSALNT0253548". The record is from RNAcentral. Lineage: Eukaryota; Metazoa; Chordata; Mammalia; Primates; Hominidae.